UUAAUUGAAGCCAAAAUAGAGGCCUAUCACUGUUAAUGAUAAAAUUGAACAUCAGUUCCAAUUAAG
RNAcentral lists this transfer RNA (66 nucleotides) under Styloperla spinicercia. RNAcentral describes it as "tRNA-Asn". The record is from RNAcentral. Lineage: Eukaryota; Metazoa; Arthropoda; Insecta; Plecoptera; Styloperlidae.